Molecule: ribosomal RNA, 481 nt
Filed under: uncultured bacterium
Lineage: Bacteria
Description: bacterial SSU rRNA
Rfam family: Bacterial small subunit ribosomal RNA
Source: RNAcentral
ACGAACGCUGGCGGCGUGCCUAAUGAAUGCGAGUCGAACGGAGUGCAACAUCGGUCACACUUUCGGGUGCGACCUGGUUGCACUUAGUGGCGAACGGGUGAGUAACACGUGGGUAACGUGCCUCCGAGACGGGCAUAACAGAGGGAAACCUCUGCUAAUUCCCGAUAUGCUGCCGAUGCCUUGGCAUCGACCAGGAAAGCUCCGGCGCUCGGAGAUCGGCCCGCGGUCCAUUAGCUAGUUGGUGAGGUAAGGGCUCACCAAGGCGACGAUGGAUAGCUGGUCUGAGAGGACGAUCAGCCACGCUGGGACUGCGACAUGGUCCAGACUCCUACGGGAGUUAGCAUCCGGGAAUCUUGCACAAUGGGCGCAAGCCUGAUGCAGCGACGCCGCGUGGGUGAUGAAGGUCUGCGGAUCGUAAAGCCCUGUCAGGAGGGAAGAAGUUCUGACUGUACCUCCAAAGGAAGCCCCGGCUAACUACGUG